GGGCUCGUAGUUUAAUGGCAAAACACUACAUUCGCAUUGUAGAGAUAUGGGUUCGACUCCCAUCGAGUCCAC
RNAcentral lists this transfer RNA (72 nucleotides) under Parcubacteria group bacterium ADurb.Bin305. RNAcentral's name for it is "tRNA-Ala". It matches the Rfam family "tRNA". From Rfam's summary of the family: Transfer RNA (tRNA) molecules are approximately 80 nucleotides in length. Their secondary structure includes four short double-helical elements and three loops (D, anti-codon, and T loops). The record is from RNAcentral.